GUAGGGGGCAAGCGUUGUCCGGAAUUAUUGGGCGUAAGGAGCUCGUAGGCGGUUCGGUAAGUCGGGUGUGAAAAUCCAGGGGCUCAACCCUGGGGACGCCACUCGAUACUGCUGUGACUAGAGUCCCGGUAGAGGAGCGUGGAAUUUCUGGUGUAGCGGUGAAAUGCGCAGAUAUCAGAAGGAACACCAGCGGCGAAGGCGGCGCUCUGGGCCGGUACUGACGCUGAGGAGCGAAAGCGUGGGGAGCAAACAGGAUUAGAUACCCUGGUAGUCCACGCCGUAAACGUUGGGCACUAGGUAUGGGGUCUUAUCAACGGAUUCCGUGCCGUAGCUAACGCAUUAAGUGCCCCGCCUGGGGAGUACGGCCGCAAAGGCUAA
This 378-nucleotide ribosomal RNA is filed under the name uncultured organism. Its description in RNAcentral is "partial 16S ribosomal RNA". It matches the Rfam family "Bacterial small subunit ribosomal RNA", at positions 527 to 897 of the family's 1533-position model. The record is from RNAcentral.